AAUCCCCUUUAAGCUUUGCCCACUAGGGACUCUCCAUGUCCUGAGUGGCCAUUAUGGAGGGGUAAAGCAUUGCCUGUCUAAAAACCUGAGUCAGGGGUCUUCCCUCUGCCUCCGGACCUGUCGGGAGGAACACAC
RNAcentral lists this small nucleolar RNA (135 nucleotides) under Poecilia formosa (Amazon molly). RNAcentral describes it as "Small nucleolar RNA SNORA27 (ENSPFOG00000021529.1)". Lineage: Eukaryota; Metazoa; Chordata; Actinopteri; Cyprinodontiformes; Poeciliidae. The record is from RNAcentral.